Molecule: unclassified non-coding RNA, 306 nt
Filed under: plant metagenome
Description: partial contains 5.8S ribosomal RNA, internal transcribed spacer 2, and large subunit ribosomal RNA
Rfam family: 5.8S ribosomal RNA (bases 1-105)
Source: RNAcentral
GAAAUGCGAUAAGUAAUGUGAAUUGCAGAAUUCAGUGAAUCAUCGAAUCUUUGAACGCACAUUGCGCCCGCCAGUAUUCUGGCGGGCAUGCCUGUUCGAGCGUCAUUUCAACCAUCAAGCCCCCGGGCCUGUGUUGGGGACCUGCGGCCGCCGCAGGCCCCAAAAAGCAGUGGCGGGCUCGCUGUCACCCCGAGCGUAGUAGUAAUCACCUCGCUUAGGGCGUGCUGUGGGCGCCGGCCGUUAAAAACCAAUAUACCCCCCAAAGGUUGACCCCGGAUCAGGUAGGAAUACCCGCUGAACUUAAGC